RNAcentral lists this non-coding RNA (28 nucleotides) under Mus musculus (house mouse). The record is from RNAcentral. Lineage: Eukaryota; Metazoa; Chordata; Mammalia; Rodentia; Muridae.
UGCUAAGGCAAGAUUGGGUGCACUCACC